UGUGUUUUCUUCCUCACUGCUUCCAGUAGAAGGAACAUUGUUUGAAAUCACCCGUCUCUUCUUUCCUCUACACCAUUAAGAAGAAGUUCUUUCUUUGAGUUUUACUGAGAUAUAAUCGACAUGUAGUCCUUACAUGACAAAAUAUGGAGAUGUGAUCACUUUAGAAAUAAGGCAGACACGGUCGUUAUAUAAGAUCCUGGAUUUGAAGCUGCAUGCAGAAGAAGAGAAAGUUCUGGAUAGAUAACAAAAUGGGGCUUUGUCGUAUGAGGGAGAGUUGCAUUAUGUCAGCCAAUUCAGUUACUUUGGAAUAUUUAUUCUUCCAACUGAAAACGAGAAUCAACUUUUCAAGUUCCUCAAAUUACUCACUGGAAUUUUGACUGAGUGGAAUUAUCCUUAUUGACAGGUGUCACAGUUCCAGCAUUACCUCCAUUUUUAAGGCGGAAGCAAAGGAAAACAGGAGACAUCUGUGACUUCAUCCAUCUCUCUGGCCAGAAUUGUGUCAAACAACCACCCCAGCUCCAAGGAAGUCUCUGAAAGUGUGUGAUGCUUGCAAAAACCCCAAAGAACAGGGAGGCUAGAAGAGUGAGCCUGGGAUUAGGUGUUGAGGGAGUCAAACUACAGUGACUUCCCAGAACCUCUGAGGGCAGCAAAGAUCAGCACCCCAAGUUCACACUUGAGGAGACAGGAGCCCCAGGAGUUUGGGCAUGAGCCAUGGUCACACAGCAGCAGGUGGUGAGCACAAGCUGGCCACCACUCCGUGACACCUGUCUCCCGUAGGCAGGAAAGCCACUGUUUUUAAAUGUUGACAUUUUGUCCAGCUACACUGCUAAAUUCUCGCAUUUUCCUGCCUACUAUUUAGGCAAAUGAAUGUAUUGGGUCACAUCUUCCCUGUUAUAAUGAUAAUUCUUUUUCCUUCCUCAUUUCUCAGUUUUGAUGUCAAAAAUAAUGGGUAUUGUUUGUUUUCCUAUUUAAAUAGGAAGGCUUUAUUGUGUUGCUGUUAAGUAAAUGAUUAAAUUUGUCCUGGAAAAGAAUGCUCUCCAAAUAGUUAAUGGUAAAAACACGUAUUUUCCGUAACAACAAAGUCUUCUAGUUUACCCUUCAAAAUGUAUCAACAUGGAUGGAACUGGAGGGGAUUAUGCUACGUGAGAUAAGUCAAGUAGAGAAAGACAAGUAUCAUAUGGUUUCACUCAUAUGUGGAACAUAAGGAAUAGCAUGGAAGA
This is a long non-coding RNA of Ailuropoda melanoleuca (giant panda), 1220 nucleotides long. RefSeq lists it as uncharacterized. NCBI's taxonomy places the organism in Eukaryota, Metazoa, Chordata, Mammalia, Carnivora, Ursidae. The record is from RefSeq and is a predicted model, not a curated record. The transcript has 3 exons.